This 261-nucleotide ribosomal RNA is filed under the name Bacillus cereus. RNAcentral's name for it is "partial 16S ribosomal RNA". It matches the Rfam family "Bacterial small subunit ribosomal RNA", at positions 555 to 812 of the family's 1533-position model. Lineage: Bacteria; Bacillati; Bacillota; Bacilli; Caryophanales; Bacillaceae. The record is from RNAcentral.
UGGGCGUAAAGCGCGCGCAGGUGGUUUUGUUAAGUCGGAUGUGAAAGCCCCCCGGCUCAACCGGGGAGCUUCAUCGGAAACUGGCGAGACUAGAGUGCAGUAGAGGAAGGUGGAAUUCCAUGUGUAGCGGUGAAAUGCGUAGAGAUAUGGAGGAACACCAGUGGCGAAGGCGACCUUCUGGUCUGUUACUGACACUGAGGCGCGAAAGCGUGGGGAGCAAACAGGAUUAGAUACCCUGGUAGUCCACGCCGUAAACGAUGA